This 497-nucleotide ribosomal RNA is filed under the name uncultured bacterium. RNAcentral describes it as "partial 16S ribosomal RNA". It matches the Rfam family "Bacterial small subunit ribosomal RNA", at positions 28 to 507 of the family's 1533-position model. The record is from RNAcentral.
GAUGAACGCUGGCGGCGUGCCUAAUACAUGCAAGUCGAGCGAACAGAUAAGGAGCUUGCUCCUUUGACGUUAGCGGCGGACGGGUGAGUAACACGUGGGUAACCUACCUAUAAGACUGGGAUAACUUCGGGAAACCGGAGCUAAUACCGGAUAACAUUUGGAACCGCAUGGUUCUAAAGUGAAAGAUGGUUUUGCUAUCACUUAUAGAUGGACCCGCGCCGUAUUAGCUAGUUGGUAAGGUAACGGCUUACCAAGGCGACGAUACGUAGCCGACCUGAGAGGGUGAUCGGCCACACUGGAACUGAGACACGGUCCAGACUCCUACGGGAGGCAGCAGUAGGGAAUAUUCCGCAAUGGGCGAAAGCCUGACGGAGCAACGCCGCGUGAGUGAUGAAGGGUUUCGGCUCGUAAAACUCUGUUAUUAGGGAAGAACAAAUGUGUAAGUAACUGUGCACGUCUUGACGGUACCUAAUCAGAAAGCCACGGCUAACUACGUG